AGGAAAAGAAACCAACAGGGAUUGCCUCAGUAACGGCGAGUGAAGCGGCAACAGCUCAAAUUUGAAAUCUGGCCCCCGGCCCGAGUUGUAAUUUGCAGAGGAUGUUUCUGGCGAGGUGCCUUCCGAGUUCCCUGGAACGGGACGCCAUAGAGGGUGAGAGCCCCGUACGGUUGGUCGCUAAGCCUCUGUGAAACUCCUUCGACGAGUCGAGUAGUUUGGGAAUGCUGCUCUAAAUGGGAGGUAUACGUCUUCUAAAGCUAAAUACCGGCUAGAGACCGAUAGCGCACAAGUAGAGUGAUCGAAAGAUGAAAAGCACUUUGAAAAGAGGGUUAAAUAGUACGUGAAAUUGUUGAAAGGGAAGCGCUCAUGACCAGACUUGGGCCGGUUGAUCAUCCAUCGUUCUCGGUGGUGCACUCUGCCGGCCCAGGCCAGCAUCAGUUUGGCCCGGGGGAUAAAGGCUUCGGGAAUGUGGCUCCCUCCGGGGAGUGUUAUAGCCCGUUGCGUAAUACCCUGGGCUGGACUGAGGUUCGCGCUCCGCAAGGAUGCUGGCGUAAUGGUCAUCAGUGACCCGUCUUUGGCGUAAUGGUUAUCAGUGACCCGUCUUGAAACACGGACCAAGGAGUCGUCUUCGUAUGCGUAAUGAAAGUGAACGUAGGAGAGAGCUUCGGCGCAUCUCCGACCGAUCCUGAUGUUCUCGGAUGGAUUUGAGUAAGAGCAUACGGGGCCGGACCCGAAAGAAGGUGAACUAUGCCUGUAUAGGGUGAAGCCAGAGGAAACUCUGGUGG
This 785-nucleotide ribosomal RNA is filed under the name unidentified. RNAcentral describes it as "Hydropisphaera sp. CL-2020c partial large subunit ribosomal RNA". It matches the Rfam family "Eukaryotic large subunit ribosomal RNA", at positions 54 to 870 of the family's 3401-position model. The record is from RNAcentral.